UGCAACUCCCUAGAUGACAUCUGAGAAAAACCAGGAGAGCAACACAGAACUUUCUGGGGAGGUGUGGACUGUGGUGGCAUUCCCAAGACAAGCAGGCCACAGAUCAUCGGCAAUCUGAGCAUGGAAGCUGCCCUUGCAUUGGGAGAGCUUCACCCAAGCCCUGGGUUUGGGUCAGAAGAGCCUUUGGACUUACGGUCCAGGGAGACACCGAAGCAGUAGAGUGAAGGCCUUGUAUCUGCCUGUAUCCAGGAUUCCUUUCCCUGGGGUUUUGAGUGUUCAGCCGACUUACUGAAAACACCCAAGAAAAGAUAAUCUUAAAAAGGGCUAAACAAACCAAAAAGCAGCUAUGACGACAUUCCUCCCAGACAUACCCAGUAUGCCAGCAAGGGCCCAGGCAGCUCACGCCAUGAGCAACAGUAGGCUGACCUGUGCAGGUAACCAAGUCCUGACUUCAAGGAGUUUUGAUGUCCUAUCCAAGACAUUCCAGCAGAGUUCUGUAGGCACCAAGGGUCUGGCUGUGACAUCUCUCGGCUUAUCAUGCACCAGGAUCGGAUAAAAUAAUCACAUUGGUGAUGAAGACUUCCAGCCUGUCAAACUAUUUGGAGCUACAGUCACCCAUCCCAUGGGGAAACAGCUGCUGUGAUCUUUCAUACAACACACCCCACAUAUUGCAACAAUGGUGGGUGCUCGUGAAGCUGUGAGUAUGGAACCAUGUGAACGCUAGGGCUUUCAUAUUUCACUUCACUGGGUAAGCCCUAUGCAAGGUAUAACACAUGUCUGUUGACAUUCCAAAUCUGGUGGAUCAUAGAACUGGCCCAUCAGGGGAAGCUGGUCUCACUUCCUGUUUCCUCCUUCCUGCUCUCAAAUUUGGCUAGCCUGUUCUGUUCUCUUCCUCAGAUACUCCAGGCUCACUCCUCUAGUCCCUUCCUCUGCCUGAUGCUGCCUAAGGAACUGAUUCUCUUGCUGUGUAUUUGGAGGGAGGAGAUCCUGCCUGGUUCCAUUCUACUGUCUUUACAAGAACAAGAUUAGAGCCCUUUCCUGGCUUCGUGGCUCAAGCAACAUUUACACUGUUUGAUAUUUCUUGAUCUGUGAAAAUAACUUGGGGGAGCCCAACACAUCUGGCUUGAAUAAAUGAACCUGGAAACAAUAUCACAGACAAACACAAAACAUGAGAUGUCUCCAGCUAAGGAACCAAGGUGCUCCAGAGAGAUCUUGCAAGUAUGACCACCCUUGUGGUGUCCGGGUAAGCUGGCUGCAUCCUGCUUGCUGCAUUCCAUCCUGAGGUGUGAGCUAUCACCACGGAGAAGCUGAGUUCUGCAGUCUGGAAAGGGCCUGUACUAGACACAUAGACUUCCAGCCUUCCAGACGAUUUUGUGGGAACUACGGUGUUGUGAGAAUUCCUUCCUUGAGGAGACUCAAACAACAUCAGUCCCUCCUCACAAAUUCCCAAUGACAAACUUGAGUAUGAGACUACCAGAGUUCACCCAAGGGAACCCAUAGUACAAUGGCUUACUUACAGUUACACUGGAAAACUCCUGUCCAGCACGCAUGAUACCCACUUCACCCCCAAUGUCACAUAGAGUUCUCCCCAUUAAUCCUAUAUAGCUUCUGUACUCUAGUCUCUCCCCGGACCCCUGAAACCACAGGCAAAUAGGGCAGAUUUGCAGACAAAUGGCUGGGAGAGGUGGCUGGAAAUGCAGAUAAAUAUUUAGUAGCCACCUCCCUCUAUGAAGGAAUCUCAACAGUCCAUAGACCCAAAAGUGAUUGACACUUGGAAGCAGGCACAGGUGAUCUGAUGAUAAUAGUGAUUGUUAGACACUUGGUGGAUAGGACCUUACAACACUAGGACAUUCUUAAGCAGCUGGCCUCCUUGAUCAAGGACCUGCAUAGCCUGUUCAUAGGACAUGUGUGCCCUGGAGCACACAGAAAAUUUUAGUCAACUAAGUCAGGAAAAUAACCCUAUUGGUUUCCCACUCACAACUAGAGAUGGCUGUCUGCUUAAGGAGUAUGGGGCAGAUGCUAUAGGCUCUGCACAAUGCCUUCUCAGAGGAAAGGGGUUUGGGAUGUCACUGAAAUAAAUUUAGUCAAGAGACA
Molecule: long non-coding RNA, 2094 nt
Organism: Grammomys surdaster
Lineage: Eukaryota; Metazoa; Chordata; Mammalia; Rodentia; Muridae
Exons: 4
Source: RefSeq, a predicted model, not a curated record